Long non-coding RNA from Felis catus (domestic cat), 1042 nucleotides. RefSeq lists it as uncharacterized. The record is from RefSeq and is a predicted model, not a curated record. The transcript is spliced from 2 exons. NCBI's taxonomy places the organism in Eukaryota, Metazoa, Chordata, Mammalia, Carnivora, Felidae.
CCCGGCUGUUCGGGGCCGCACUCUUGUCAAGAGUGUUGGUCCCGAUCGGUUGGCCUUGCCUCUCAUUGUAAUAAACUUUGUUGUGACUGUCACUGGUGCCUGUAGCAUUCUGUUUCAGGAGUCGUGAAUGCAAUACAGGGACCUGAGACAACAAGGAGGAAAGCGAAAGCAGAUCGCAUGGCGUCUAAUUCAGAUUAUUCCCGAGAGGCCUGGCAUUCAUUCCUUCAAGAAACACCUAUGGCUAUUUUGGAAGUGCAAAGGGAAACAAGGAGACCUUCAGUGGCUCCUUUAAGAGAUAUGGGCCCACCUCCUAACGAGGUGCAGGAACACCACCAGGUUAUCCCACAAACCAUUUUGCAAUCCCCUGAAGGAAGAAUUCAUUCUGAUCUUUGGAAGUUAUAUGCUGCCUUUGAUAAAAUGUAUACUGAUGACAGCUUUAGUUUUCCAGAUUAUUAUCUUUCUCCAGUCCUACAAUUGCGUGCCUGUGUUCCUCCUCCCUACUAUUUGAUUGUUGGAGAUGGAGCCAUUACUCCAGUGAAAGAAGAUGGUCAUCAGUUAUACCGGCUGACUUGUCCUGCUUGUGUUUUGACCACUUGUCUACUAGUAGAGGGGCCCUCUAGAAGUGAAAUGAAGGUUUAUCUGGUCUUACAACCUCCCUAUUGGAUGUUGCCAGUAAAUGUUACAGGACCUUGGUAUCCUAAUUAUGGGAUUCAAUUGGCCUUAGAAAUCAGUAAACGGCUGCACAGGACCAGACGGUUUCUUGGACUCUUGAUUGCUGGACUCAUAGCAACAGUGACUGUAAUUGCCUCUGCAACUGUAUCUGUGAUAUCCUUACAUGAAAGUGCCCAAACGGCAUCCCAUGUAAAUGAAUUGGCUCAUAAUAUAUCCAAGGUGCUUGCCACUCAAGAGUGAAUAGACCGUAAACUGGAAGCCCAGUUGCAGGCACUACAAGAAGCAUUGAUGUAUCUUGGUGAUCAGUUUGCUGUUUUGCGUACCAGACUUUCUUUAAUUUGUCAUGAUGCAUAUAAACAUAUCUGUGUUA